Molecule: ribosomal RNA, 2878 nt
Filed under: Acinetobacter baumannii TG2014
Lineage: Bacteria; Pseudomonadati; Pseudomonadota; Gammaproteobacteria; Moraxellales; Moraxellaceae
Description: bacterial LSU rRNA
Rfam family: Bacterial large subunit ribosomal RNA
Source: RNAcentral
AGUGCAUGUGGUGGAUGCCUUGGCAGUCAGAGGCGAUGAAAGACGUGAUAGCCUGCGAAAAGCUCCGGGGAGGCGGCAAAUAUCCUUUGAUCCGGAGAUGUCUGAAUGGGGGAACCCACCUACUUUAAGGUAGGUAUUGCAACAUGAAUACAUAGUGUUGCAAGGCGAACGAGGGGAAGUGAAACAUCUCAGUACCCUUAGGAAAAGAAAUCAAUUGAGAUUCCCUCAGUAGCGGCGAGCGAACGGGGAUCAGCCCAUUAAGUUAUGUGUGUUUUAGUGGAACGCUCUGGGAAGUGCGAACGUAGAGGGUGAUAUUCCCGUACACGAAAGGGCACACAUAAUGAUGACGAGUAGGGCGAGGCACGUGAAACCUUGUCUGAAUAUGGGGGGACCAUCCUCCAAGGCUAAAUACUCCUGACUGACCGAUAGUGAACCAGUACCGUGAGGGAAAGGCGAAAAGAACCCCUGUGAGGGGAGUGAAAUAGAUCCUGAAACCGCAUGCAUACAAGCAGUGGGAGCACCUUCGUGGUGUGACUGCGUACCUUUUGUAUAAUGGGUCAGCGACUUAUAUUCAGUAGCGAGGUUAACCGUAUAGGGGAGCCGUAGAGAAAUCGAGUCUUAAUAGGGCGUUUAGUUGCUGGGUAUAGACCCGAAACCAGGCGAUCUAUCCAUGAGCAGGUUGAAGGUUGGGUAACACUAACUGGAGGACCGAACCCACUGUCGUUGAAAAGCCAGGGGAUGACUUGUGGAUAGGGGUGAAAGGCUAAUCAAGCCUGGUGAUAGCUGGUUCUCCCCGAAAGCUAUUUAGGUAGCGCCUCGGACGAAUACCAUAGGGGGUAGAGCACUGUUUCGGCUAGGGGGUCAUCCCGACUUACCAAACCGAUGCAAACUCCGAAUACCUAUGAGUACUAUCCGGGAGACAGACUGCGGGUGCUAACGUCCGUAGUCAAGAGGAAAACAAUCCAGACCGCCAGCUAAGGCCCCAAAAUCAUAGUUAAGUGGGAAACGAUGUGGGAAGGCAUAGACAGCUAGGAGGUUGGCUUAGAAGCAGCCACCCUUUAAAGAAAGCGUAAUAGCUCACUAGUCGAGUCGGCCUGCGCGGAAGAUGUAACGGGGCUAAAACUAUGUGCCGAAGCUGCGGAUGUAUACUUUGUNNACGUGGUAGGGGAGCGUUCUGUAAGCCGAUGAAGGUGUNUUGAGAAGNAUGCUGGAGGUAUCAGAAGUGCGAAUGCUGACGUGAGUAACGACAAAACGGGUGAAAAACCCGUUCGCCGAAAGACCAAGGGUUCCAGUCCAACGUUAAUCGGGGCUGGGUGAGUCGACCCCUAAGGCGAGGCCGAAAGGCGUAGUCGAUGGGAAAAUGGUUAAUAUUCCAUUACUUCUGUGUAAUGCGAUGAGAGGACGGAGAAGGCUAAAUCAGCCUGGCGUUGGUUGUCCAGGUGAAAGGAUGUAGGCAUGUAUCUUAGGCAAAUCCGGGGUACUCUAUGCUGAGAUCUGAUAGCAAGCUGUACUUGUACAGCGAAGUGGUUGAUGCCAUGCUUCCAGGAAAAGUCUCUAAGCUUCAGUUACACAGGAAUCGUACCCGAAACCGACACAGGUGGUCAGGUCGAGUAGACCAAGGCGCUUGAGAGAACUCUGCUGAAGGAACUAGGCAAAAUGGUACCGUAACUUCGGGAGAAGGUACGCUGUUGUUGGUGAUGGAACUCGCUUCCUGAGCUGACGACAGCCGCAGAAACCAGGCCGCUGCAACUGUUUAUUAAAAACAUAGCACUCUGCAAACACGAAAGUGGACGUAUAGGGUGUGAUGCCUGCCCGGUGCUGGAAGGUUAAUUGAUGGGGUUAGCGUAAGCGAAGCUCUUGAUCGAAGCCCCAGUAAACGGCGGCCGUAACUAUAACGGUCCUAAGGUAGCGAAAUUCCUUGUCGGGUAAGUUCCGACCUGCACGAAUGGCAUAAUGAUGGCGGCGCUGUCUCCAGCAGAGGCUCAGUGAAAUCGAAAUCGCUGUGAAGAUGCAGUGUACCCGCGGCUAGACGGAAAGACCCCGUGAACCUUUACUGCAGCUUGACACUGAACUUUGACCUUACUUGUGUAGGAUAGGUGGGAGGCUUUGAAGCUGGAACGCUAGUUCCAGUGGAGCCGUCCUUGAAAUACCACCCUGGUAAUGUUGAGGUUCUAACUCUGUCCCGUGAUCCGGGACGAGGACCGUGUCUGGUGGGUAGUUUGACUGGGGCGGUCUCCUCCUAAAGAGUAACGGAGGAGUACGAAGGUGCGCUCAGCGUGGUCGGAAAUCACGCGUAGAGUAUAAAGGCAAAAGCGCGCUUAACUGCGAGACCCACAAGUCGAGCAGGUACGAAAGUAGGUCUUAGUGAUCCGGUGGUUCUGUAUGGAAGGGCCAUCGCUCAACGGAUAAAAGGUACUCUGGGGAUAACAGGCUGAUACCGCCCAAGAGUUCAUAUCGACGGCGGUGUUUGGCACCUCGAUGUCGGCUCAUCUCAUCCUGGGGCUGAAGCAGGUCCCAAGGGUAUGGCUGUUCGCCAUUUAAAGAGGUACGCGAGCUGGGUUUAGAACGUCGUGAGACAGUUCGGUCCCUAUCUACCGUGGGCGCUGGAAAUUUGAGAGGAUCUGCUCCUAGUACGAGAGGACCAGAGUGGACGAACCUCUGGUGUACCGGUUGUGACGCCAGUCGCAUCGCCGGGUAGCUAUGUUCGGAAGGGAUAACCGCUGAAAGCAUCUAAGCGGGAAGCCUACCUCAAGAUAAGAUUUCCCUAGGACUUUAUGUCCUCUAAAGAGCCGUUCGAGACUAGGACGUUGAUAGGUUGGAUGUGGAAGCAUAGUGAUAUGUGAAGCUGACCAAUACUAAUUGCUCGUGAGGCUUGACU